AGUAACGCGUGUGCAACCUGCCUAUGACAGUGGGAUAGCCUCGUGAAACCGGGAUUAAUACCGCAUAAAAUCGUAGAAACACAUGUUUCAACGGUCAAAGAUUUAUCGGUCAUAGAUGGGCUCGCGUCUGAUUAGCUAGUUGGUGAGAUAACAGCCCACCAAGGCGACGAUCAGUAGCCGGUCUGAGAGGAUGAACGGCCACAUUGGAACUGAGACACGGUCCAA
This 225-nucleotide ribosomal RNA is filed under the name uncultured Eubacteriales bacterium. RNAcentral's name for it is "uncultured Clostridiales bacterium partial 16S ribosomal RNA". It matches the Rfam family "Bacterial small subunit ribosomal RNA", at positions 109 to 334 of the family's 1533-position model. Lineage: Bacteria; Bacillati; Bacillota; Clostridia; Eubacteriales. The record is from RNAcentral.